GUUUAAAUUUUAUUAUUUAUUAUUUUUAAAAAUUUUUUAGUAAAAGUAAUUUUUUUUUAUUAUUAAUUAAGAAAAUAUUUUUUUUUAUUAUAGUUCAAAGUAUUGUGAAAGAAGAUUAAAAUCUAUUUAAAAGAAAAAUUUAAAUUUUGUACCUUGUGCAUCAGGGUUAAUUAAAAUUUAUUAAUUAUUUAUAAUUCUCGAAUUUAAAAGAGUUAAUUAAUUAUAUAUUUUAUUGUUUUAUAAAUAUUUAAAAUAUUUAAUUUGAAAUUAAAAGUUAUUCGUUUUUAAAUAUAUCUAGUUUUUGAAUAAAUAAAUUUAAUUUAAUUGUUAAUAAUUAAAUUUUUAAUUUUUUAAAUUUUUAUUUAUUAAUAAGCAAUUUUUUUAGGGAUAAGCUUAAAAAAAAAGUAUUAUAAUUUAAUAAGAAAUAAAUAAAUUAUAGGAUUAAAAUUUUCUAUAAAUAAAAAAAUGUUAUAAUUAAUUAUUUAAAGAAUUUUAUUUUUAUUAAAUUUAGGUUUUUUAUUCAAAUAUAAAAUUUAAUUUAAAAAUUUUAGAAAUAAUGAUUAAAUUAGUAAAUAAUUAUUGUAUAAAUAAUUUUAUAUAUAUAGGUUAAUUUAAGGAACUCGGCAAAUAUAUUUUUCACCUGUUUAUUAAAAACAUGUCCUUUUGAUUAUAAUUUAAGGUCUAAUCUGCCCACUGAUUAAAAUUAAAUGGCCGCGGUAUAUUGACCGUGCUAAGGUAGCAUAAUCAUUAGUUUCUUAAUUAGAAGCUGGAAUGAACGAUUGGAUGAGAAAAUAACUGUCUCAAAUUAAUUUUUAUUGAAUUUUAUUUUUAAGUUAAAAAGCUUAAAUAAUAUUAAAAGACGAGAAGACCCUAUAGAGUUUAAUUUAUUUAAAAAGUAAAAAUUUAUUGGUUUAAUAUUUAUUAUUUUUUUAAUAAAUUUUAUUGGGGUGAUAGAAAAAUUUAAUAAACUUUUUUUAUAUAAUUACAUUUAUAAAUGAAAAAAUGAUCCAAAUUUUUUGAUUAUAAGAUAAAAUUACCUUAGGGAUAACAGCGUAAUUUUUUUUAAGAGUUCAAAUCUAAAAAAAAGAUUGCGACCUCGAUGUUGGAUUAAAGUAAAUUCUUGGUGCAGUAGCUAAAGGAUUAAGUCUGUUCGACUUUUAAAACUUUACAUGAUCUGAGUUUAGACCGGUGUGAGCCAGGUCGGUUUCUAUCUUUAAUAAAAAAUAAUAUUUUAGUACGAAAGGACCAAAUAUA
RNAcentral lists this ribosomal RNA (1254 nucleotides) under Cleridae sp. 1 ACP-2013. RNAcentral's name for it is "16S ribosomal RNA". The stretch from base 1044 to 1202 matches the Rfam family "Archaeal large subunit ribosomal RNA", at positions 2542 to 2701 of the family's 2987-position model. Lineage: Eukaryota; Metazoa; Arthropoda; Insecta; Coleoptera; Cleridae. The record is from RNAcentral.